RNAcentral lists this ribosomal RNA (422 nucleotides) under uncultured cyanobacterium. Its description in RNAcentral is "bacterial SSU rRNA". It matches the Rfam family "Bacterial small subunit ribosomal RNA", at positions 358 to 792 of the family's 1533-position model. Lineage: Bacteria; Bacillati; Cyanobacteriota. The record is from RNAcentral.
GGAAUUUUCCGCAAUGGGCGAAAGCCUGACGGAGCAAGACCGCGUGAGGGAUGAAGGCCUUUGGGUUGUAAACCUCUUUUCUCAGGGAUUUCCGCAAUGGGAUUAGAUACCCCAGUAGUCAUGGGGAAUUUUCCGCCAAGGGACCACAGUAACCACGGAGGCAUGGGGCGUUUUCCGGAAUUAUUGGGCGUAAAGCGUCCGCAGGUGGCUUUCCAAGUCUGCCGUCAAAGCCCGAGGCUUAACCUCGGAUCGGCGGUGGAAACUGGAUCGCUAAAGUGCGUCAGGGGUAGGGGGAAUUCCCGGUGUACCGGUGAAAUGCGUAAAUAUCGGAAAAAACACCAGUGACGAAAGUGCCCUACUGGGACGUUACUGACACUCAUGGACGAAAGCUAGGGGAGCGAAAGGGAUUAAAUACCCCAGUA